AGAGAUUCAGUUGAUUGAUCUUUUUAAUCUGUUGCAUUUGUUCUUCACAUCAGCUUACAGAUUGGGAGGAAUGACAUUUGAGAAAAUAUUAAAGACUCGAAUCAAGUCAAGCCACAGGUAGAGGUUGACUUGAAAUUGGCAACCAAAGAGCAUGAUGACCCAAUUUCAGAAGAGGCUCAGAUUGUAGAGGUUAAACCAGGAGCUGUUUGUGUGUAUAGGGAUCCAGAUGGGAAAAACGGUUAAGUCAUCACUCAACAUCCGAUCAAAAACAGGGUACUCUGUUUUGGUCAUCAGAGCAGCCGGCUUCGUCAGAACCCACAUCAGUGCCGCCUUGAAACGACUGCGUUGUAGGGUUAUAUAAUUUUAACAAUUAUCACAAUUCUACCCUCAAAAGGACUCGGCCACAAUUGUUUGAAAAAAGUGGGAUUUUUAUUGUGGAAGGGGGCAUAAAUGAUGCUGUUUUGCUGAACAACCUCUUUGAGGUACUACAUGGUAAUAUUGCUGGUUAUGUUGAUAUUCUUGAAGUCUGUAAAAAUGCAAACCCACAGCCUGCAAUUGCUGGUUAUGUCAGAAAAAAGACCGAACAGAUCAACCCCACCCGCAAGCCUAUACGCUGGUACGAAAAAAGCGGGUGAAGAAAUCUCGCAUACGUAUAAUCAUAUUUACGGGCUGUCGCUAACGGGUUUAAGGUUCUUUAUGGUUUAUGGACCGUGGGGUAGAAGUUUGGCUGUAAACCAACGACAGAUCUUCAAAUGGGGUUGAAGACAUUUGUUAGAUGUUGGGGAAUCGUUGCAUCUGUUUGAGGAAUAAAACUACUAGGCAAUGCAAAAGAUGGCACUUGGAGGGGCCAUCUAAAAUCUAAAGGCUAAAACUCACAGACAUCAAGAUUGACAUUAAAAGGGUCCCUAAAAAGAAAACCAUGGUUACUGGUAUAGAUUUGAAGAACAAGUGAAAGAACAAUUCUAAGGGAAGAAAGAUUAUCUUCUAAUUUUUAUAUUCUUGAAAAAAAGGGUACAACUUGAACUUAUUAUUAGUUAAAAAAAGUGUGUUAUUUACAUGUCGGUUAGCAUCCAGAUUUUGAAAGCUCAAGAUGGCUGUUCAUUGUGAGGAAAAAUGGAGAAACGUGGAUUUGACGAGUUCAUUUCAUCAUUUGCAACAUCUUCAGCCAUUGUUUAUAGUUAUUACUUCAACUGGGAGCUCUGUGUGUAAUAGGGAUCUUGGAGCGGACCUUGUUGAAAAAACAAGACGGGCCAAGAUCUGAUAAGAAACAGGGUACUUUGUUUUAGUCACUGAUGCCGCCGGCUUCGUGGGACCCAUGUCAGCAUCGUCUUGAAGUGCCCACGGUGUUUUAGGGUUGCAUAAUUUUAAUGAUUGUUACGAUCCUACCCUCAAAAGGGCUCGUCAACAUUUGUUGGAAAAACGUGGGAUUUUAAUAAUUGUUACGCUCCAAUGAAGAAAGCCAGUGAGGAAAUUGCGCAUACGUAUAAUCAUAUUUACAGGUUGUCUUUAACGGGUUUAAGGUUUUUAUGGUUUAUGGACCGUGGGGUGAUAUGACUUAUUUUUUCUUUACAAAAGAUAUCUUGAAAGGAAAAUCGAUACCUGUCUUUACAGGUCAUGUCUACUUUAUUUAUCAAUUCUUAUAAGAUAUUGUAACAUGAAUAGAUACCUUUCAAGUUAUUACCAAGUGAAUUACAUCUUUC
Helianthus annuus (common sunflower) is the source of this 1700-nucleotide long non-coding RNA. RefSeq lists it as uncharacterized. The record is from RefSeq and is a predicted model, not a curated record. The transcript has 6 exons. Lineage: Eukaryota; Viridiplantae; Streptophyta; Magnoliopsida; Asterales; Asteraceae.